CCCUUAGAUGUCCGGGGCUGCACGCGCGCUACACUGAAGGAAUCAGCGUGCUAGAAAACCUUGUUUGACAUGGCUAGGUAACCCGUUGAAAAUCUUUCGUGAUUGGGAUCGGGACUUGCAAAUGUGUCCCUUGAACGAGGAAUUCCCAGUAAGUGCGGGUCAUAAGCUCGCGCUGAUUACGUCCCUGCCCUUUGUACACACCGCCCGUCGCUGCCCGGAACUGAGCCGUUUCGAGAAGACUGGGGACUGCGAACUUUGGGCUGGAAAACAGCUUUUUGUUUGUGGAAACCACUUUAAUCGCGGCGGCUUGAACCGGGCAAAAGUCGUAACA
This 331-nucleotide ribosomal RNA is filed under the name uncultured eukaryote. RNAcentral describes it as "partial 18S ribosomal RNA". It matches the Rfam family "Eukaryotic small subunit ribosomal RNA", at positions 1470 to 1796 of the family's 1831-position model. The record is from RNAcentral.